AGAGUUUGAUCCUGGCUCAGGACGAACGCUGGCGGCGUGCUUAACACAUGCAAGUCGAGCGAGGCCCUCCUUCGGGGGGUGCCCUAGCGGCGAACGGGUGAGUAACACGUGGGCAACCUGCCCUCAGCUCUGGGAUAACUCCAAGAAAUUGGUGCUAAUACCGGAUGUGACCACUGACCGCAUGGUCUGGUGGUGGAAAGAUUCAUCGGCUGAGGAUGGGCCCGCGGCCUAUCAGCUUGUUGGUGGGGUAAUGGCCCACCAAGGCGACGACGGGUAGCCGGCCUGAGAGGGUGACCGGCCACACUGGGACUGAGACACGGCCCAGACUCCUACGGGAGGCAGCAGUGGGGAAUAUUGCGCAAUGGGCGAAAGCCUGACGCAGCGACGCCGCGUGAGGGAUGACGGCCUUCGGGUUGUAAACCUCUUUCAGUAGGGACGAAGCGAAAGUGACGGUACCUACAGAAGAAGCACCGGCCAACUACGUGCCAGCAGCCGCGGUAAUACGUAGGGUGCAAGCGUUGUCCGGAAUUAUUGGGCGUAAAGAGCUCGUAGGCGGUCUGUCACGUCGGCUGUGAAAACCCGAGGCUCAACCUCGGGCCUGCAGUCGAUACGGGCAAACUAGAGUACUGCAGGGGAGACUGGAAUUCCUGGUGUAGCGGUGAAAUGCGCAGAUAUCAGGAGGAACACCGGUGGCGAAGGCGGGUCUCUGGGCAGUAACUGACGCUGAGGAGCGAAAGCGUGGGGAGCGAACAGGAUUAGAUACCCUAGUAGUCC
This 774-nucleotide ribosomal RNA is filed under the name uncultured bacterium. Its description in RNAcentral is "bacterial SSU rRNA". It matches the Rfam family "Bacterial small subunit ribosomal RNA", at positions 8 to 796 of the family's 1533-position model. The record is from RNAcentral.